GAAAAAUGUUGUGUGAGCUCAGCAGGUUUGAUUUUAAUUGAAAUAGUUAAUAUUUGAUUAAGAUACUUCUGACCACUCAAACUUUCCAAAGUGAUUAGAUACUGAAAAGUCAGUGUUAAAUAUUCCUUUGAAAGGGAGUGAAUGCAGCAUUGUCACCUUAUUGCAAGCUUUCAGCUUAGUGCAGUUUAUUUUAUGAUUUAAACAUUUAGCAUGCUUAAAUUAUAAAAUUAAUCAUACCAUUAACCUUAAAAUACGGUGGUCUAAGAGCAGGUUUCUGAAUACAUGUAACAGAUAAAUGGUCAAGUUGCAUUGCUGUUUCCCAAAUGGAAUAAUGUAAAUGCAGAUAAAAUGUUAUAUAAAGACAUUAAAAAACAACAACAACAAAACACCUUAAUCUUUUACGUGUGUUCUCAGUUUUGUUGUUCUUAACAGGAGCAAAGGAUUAGUAUGAAGAUGAGCUGACGUGGUGGCCUAAGAUUACAUCACCUCAGCAGGAUUUCUUUUGCUUGCUAAUUGCCAGCAGUGAAAAUGUACGGAGCCAAAUUGAUGAGGAAGAAAAGGUUUUAAAACCAAAGUGGCUAAAAGAAUUCCAGCCAUUGCAAGGUGGGAGUACAAAAGGUUUUGGUUUUUAUUUUAUUUUUUAUUUUUUAAUUUAUUUAUUACAAUAAGGAAAAGGUCUACUAAUUCUACUGAUGAUAAUUUAGCAUCUCAGGAAAUAUUUCUGCAGAUUCUUACAGUUCUAGUUCUCCCCUCUGGGGCUCUUUAAAUAGGCACAAGAUAGACAAACAAAAUAAACAUGGCAACUGAAACUUCUAGAUUCAUGUUAAAUAGUACAUAUUUGCUAUUUUUUCCAGCUCUGAAUCACACUUGAGUGAUUGGCUUGAGUAGAAUGGCAUGCAGUCCCCCUUGGUGGGGAUAAAGAUGGACACAUAUUCUAAAGCUACAGAUCCAUCAAGACAAUCACUUACUGGUUCUCCAGGGACAACUGUCUUAUCCCGUAGUUUUUGGAUAUUGAAAGGGAUAGAUAUUGUUCCCACACACUGCAGAAUCAUGCUGGUCAAGAGGGAGCCUAAAAAAGAAGAUUGCUAGAACCAAUUCUGGUAAGAAAAUUUCUGAUGUCUAAGACUAAUUGUAGAGAAAAUAGUAUUUUUAA
RNAcentral lists this long non-coding RNA (1153 nucleotides) under Anas platyrhynchos platyrhynchos (common mallard). RNAcentral describes it as "lncRNA (ENSAPLG00000027466.1)". The record is from RNAcentral. Lineage: Eukaryota; Metazoa; Chordata; Aves; Anseriformes; Anatidae.